GGAGAAACAGAAAGGGUCCCUUUCUCCCUGGCUCCUCCAGCAGCGCAAUGUGAUCCACCGGCAAGGAGGGACGCCAAUAAGGUGUCUGAUAAGAUAAGUCUUAUAAAAUAUAUAGGUUUAUGAUAAUUGAGACUGAGCUAGCAGAUGAGGAAUCCUAGUCAUUGGCCAAGCAGCACUGAACCUAAUACAAGUUUCUGCGUAUUCAUUUGGGCCUAACUCGGGCAGGCGGCUGGCGUGAAGCUCACACGUGGCGAUGUGGAGGAAUAUGCAUAUGAGCGCCGCUGCCCUUGGAGUCCAGAAGACGUGUCAGACGCCCUGGAGCUGGACUUACAGUGAGCCACCUUAUAGGUGUCCUGGGAACCAAAUUCUGGUCCUCUGCAAGAACAGAAUGUACUCUUAACUCCUGAGCCAUCUCUCCAGACCCCUGGAUAAAGUUUUUGAAUGAGAAAAUACUUUGGGACUGGUGUUGAAGCCCAGCUGGUUGAAUGAUUGCCUAGUAUGCACAAGGCCCUAAGUUUAAUCCCCAGCACCACGGCAUGGUAGGGCACACCUGAAAUCUCAGCACUGAGACAUCAAAGCAGAAGGAUCAGAAGCUUAAGGUUAUCAUCUACUACAUAUCGAGUUUGAGGCCAACCUUGACUACAAGAGACCUAUCUCAAAAAACAAACAAACAAACAAAAACAAAAAACACCACCACCACCACCAACAACAACAACCAUCUCUUAAGCCACCCGAGGGGACAGCUUUGGACAAGACUGGGUGUUCAGUUUUGGUCUUGGAUUCUUGAUUUUCAGACCCUGGUUACCCUAAUUUCUGAAUUCUGUUUCCAGGUCUCUAGCUCUAGACAGUCAAUGGCUUUCCCAUGUAUCCGAUGCGGCUUUAGCCAGGCCAGUCUGCCAACGCCCAAGACUAUCAGGGGCAUUCCUGACUCUGUUGGUACUUACUGCCACCUCAUUCCAGCUCUGAGUUUCUUGUUUCUUCCUCCAACCACUCCAUCCCACCUUUCUUCAAAGAUAACUCAGACCCACAUCUGCCUCGUAGAUUUCUUGGCUCUGGGACCCUUCCAGGCUCUGAUCCCCCACAGACCCUUUCUCCAUCUGCAUGGCUUCUCAAGAGUUUUGAGCGGCUCAUGUCCUCAGGUCACAAACCUGAGCUGGUUCUUGUUUUACUCACAAGCUAGCAUACAGCUUGACACAGAAUGUAGAAGGAGGCCCUAGUGGCACCAGCUGUAUUCAGCUUGGCUGUGGGAAACCGGGAAGCAAUAUCUGGAGAGGUAGUAUUGGCUAACCCAGUAGUCACCUUAGUGGCUCUGCAGGUGACAAUCUAAAAAAACAUCUGGCCAGGCAUAUAGAUAGCAUUUAGACAUUGGUAUAUCCAUGUUUUUUUUUCCAUACCUGCUAUGUGUCAUCUAGUUCCUUGCUUGACUUGGAUUGGCCAGAGAUCACACACACACACACACACACACACACACACACACACACACACACAAAGAAUUGAAAUGAGGAGAACUAAUACAUAUUGUUUGGAGACAAAUCCAUAAAACAGCCACAAUGCAGCAGCAAAUCAUCCAAAGAGCCAACAUGCUCCUCAUUUUACACAAUAACUGGAAGCAAGCAAACGGUUAAAAUGUGGGCACUCCUCUUACUUGACACAUAAUAAGUAACGGCAGAAUGGGAAAGAUUGGUGGUGGCAGUGUGCAGUGUGGUGCUAGUGGGACAAACACAAGAUUAUUUUGUCCCCAUGUCCUUUUUUAAUAAUUUAUUUAUUUUUAUUUUGUGUACAUUUGUGUUUUGCCUGCAUGUGUGUCUGUGUGUGGGUGGUGAAUCCUGGAGUCACAGACAGUUGUGAGCUGACAUGUGGGUGCUGGGAAUUGAACCCGGGUCCUUUGGAAGAGCAGCCAGUGCUCUUGACCACUGAGCCAUAUCUCCAGCCCUUUGUCCACAUGUUCUAAGCUCUGCUUACACACUCUGCCUGUUGGGGAAGCUCACUCUCGUGUGAGACAACACCUUCCACUACUUGCUUAUCUAUCCUUUGGAAAGAUGCUCACAAGGAUGAGUUAAGUGCAGCCUCCCUAUCCCCUCUCGGCAGGUCACAGGUCAUGUCUUCAUCUCCAGGGAACACCUAAUGGAGCUGGGACAAGAUUAAAGUGGUAAAUUGGCUAAGACACAAACUUAAAAGUCUACACAGCAUGGAGAUCAAAGGUCUCCGUAAAUUCAAGACCCCUGGUACCUCCUUGUCCUUGGCCUAGCUCAAAGCUAGUCUAAGUUGCUCCCUGUGCCCCUCACCCAGAAGCUCAGGGUGGGUGUCAGAUUCUCAAGGACCUCCAGCCUCCAAAGGAGCUUGCUAGGCAGCCCUUACCAAGGGGUGGGCUGCUACAGUUGUACCACGAAGAUAAGGCUUCGGCACAGAGGAAGACUGAGAAUUGAGUGGGGUGCAGGCCUAAUGGGGGCAUCCCAGGGCUUUUUCAAACUCCUCCUGCUCAAAGUGUCUGGGUGGCCUUGCCCAGCUGUCUCUGGUGCAUUGCCUCAAGAUGCCUAAAGCAGGCCAUAUUUGGACCCUACAAGUGUCCAGCAGUGGGCUCUAGGGGGCAUCAAACAGCGGGCCUGGAUAUGAAAGUCAGCAAUGUUUCUCCUUCCCUUGGGCAUCUC
RNAcentral lists this long non-coding RNA (2648 nucleotides) under Cricetulus griseus (Chinese hamster). RNAcentral describes it as "lncRNA (ENSCGRG00015043071.1)". Lineage: Eukaryota; Metazoa; Chordata; Mammalia; Rodentia; Cricetidae. The record is from RNAcentral.